CAUCCCCUGCGGUGUUCGACACCGGGCCACGUUAUCUUGAGCCGACAAUCUACGCCCCGGGGGCCGUAGCGUGGCGAACCUGGUGCGCAUGUCCGCCACCGUGCGGAAAGCCUGAAGGGUCGUCCCUCGCCCCCACCUGAACCUAACGGUUCAAGGGCGACGCCCGAACGGCACCAGCGGGGGGUGU
Molecule: non-coding RNA, 187 nt
Filed under: Ectothiorhodospiraceae bacterium WFHF3C12
Lineage: Bacteria; Pseudomonadati; Pseudomonadota; Gammaproteobacteria; Chromatiales; Ectothiorhodospiraceae
Description: 6S / SsrS RNA
Rfam family: 6S / SsrS RNA
About the family: E. coli 6S RNA was the first non coding RNA to be sequenced, but its function was unknown until recently. It consists of 184 nucleotides that fold into an extended hairpin structure with a large single-stranded internal bulge.
Source: Rfam by way of RNAcentral